RNAcentral lists this ribosomal RNA (277 nucleotides) under uncultured bacterium. RNAcentral describes it as "partial 16S ribosomal RNA". It matches the Rfam family "Bacterial small subunit ribosomal RNA", at positions 29 to 327 of the family's 1533-position model. The record is from RNAcentral.
AGCGAACGCUGGCGGCAUGCUUAACACAUGCAAGUCGCACGGUCGGGGGUAACUUCGGCAGUGGCGGACGGGUGAGUAACGCGUAGGAAUCUAUCCACGGGUGGGGGAUAACGGCGGGAAACUGCUGCUAAUACCGCAUGACACCUGAGGGUCAAAGGCGCGAGUCGCCUGUGGAGGAGCCUGCGUCCGAUUAGCUUGUUGGUGGGGUAAUGGCCUACCAAGGCGACGAUCGGUAGCUGGUCUGAGAGGAUGAUCAGCCACACUGGGACUGAGACAC